This 328-nucleotide long non-coding RNA is filed under the name Bos taurus (domestic cattle). RNAcentral describes it as "long non-coding RNA NONBTAT016655". The record is from RNAcentral. Lineage: Eukaryota; Metazoa; Chordata; Mammalia; Artiodactyla; Bovidae.
GAGGUUGUCCCCCAAAAGGUCACUAAAUGAGAUGAAUUAAGAAAAUUAAUUUCACUAAUUCAUGUUACUUAAAAACAAGCAGUCAGUAACCCAGAUGUAUAUGCUGGUGUUGGCUUACGGAUUGUAUUUCCGGUUUCCUCAAACAGUGUGAAGGAAUCUCACUAGUUCAUUAUAAUUGUGGACCAUCUGGAUCACUGUGGAACAGCUGAAGGUUAGAAGAUGAUGUUAGUACUAGAGUUAAUAGCACAUGGUGGGUGUUGAGACUCUAAAAGUAGCAAGGAUCUUUAAACAGUCCUCACUGUAAAGUAACUAUUAUAGGCUUGAUAAA